This 253-nucleotide unclassified non-coding RNA is filed under the name uncultured Parcubacteria group bacterium. Its description in RNAcentral is "contains 16S-23S intergenic spacer region". It matches the Rfam family "Bacterial small subunit ribosomal RNA", at positions 524 to 776 of the family's 1533-position model. The record is from RNAcentral.
UACAGAGGCCCCGAGCGUUAUCCGGAAUCACUGGGCGUAAAGGGUGCGUAGGCGGCAAUGUUAGUCGUGUUUCAAAUAUCCCCGCUUAACGGGGAAAAGGGGCGCGAAACGGCAUUGCUUGAGUGUGCGAGAGAUGUGCGGAACUCAUAGUGUAGGGGUGAAAUCCGUUGAUAUUAUGGGGAACACCAAAUGCGAAGGCAGCACAUUGGCGCAUAACUGACGCUCAUGCACGAAAGCGUGGGUAGCGAAUGGG